UUUUUUUUUGUAUGCAAAAUACACUACAAGGACUAAGCCCAAGCACCGUAUUGUUUCAGUCUCGAAGUAAUUCUAUGUACUCGUGCAUUGGAGAUGCGUUUAAUUAACAUGGUGCGAUUGGACUUGAGUGAGCUGACAGCACUGUAUGAGGGUCUGUUUGCCAAGAUUCAGGACUUGUUGAAAGAGUUAUUACAACUACAACUAUAACUAUAACUACAACUAUAACUACAACGAUAAGAACUAUCACUACUCUGAAGACAACGAUGUGUUUUCUCAAGAUGAUAACGGAUCUAGCUUCGCCAUCAAUAAGUAUGAGACAAAGGAGUCCAUCUUUGAUGAAACAUCCAUUUUCCUGUUGUACAUUUUUGCAGGACAACUAGCCUGAGCACAAGAGACAUGGUGUACUAGACCUUGUGCGGAAUGUCUACUUCAAAACUUGCAUCUUUAUAUCUGAUAUAUAGAGAUAUAGAGAUAUAGAGAUAUAGAGAGAGGCUGAUGAUUUAUAAACACAAACGAUAAGACUUGUAACAUGAAGUUUGUCGAAAAAGUCAAUCUUUAAAUUCCUUUCUGAACCUCUGCUGUUAUGUCAGUGCUUCGGUAUUAUGCUUUAAUGCAGUCACUUGAGGCGUUGUCCUAAUAGGUGCAAAGUUACCGUAUAUUUAGGUUUCAUGUUUGUGAUUACUGGAGAACGACUGUGAAGAGACCAACCGUAUCGUGUUUUUUCCAAUUGUGAUCUUCCAAAUGCUUAAUAAAUACGAAAUCUUAUUUCGAUUUACAGGCUGGGCAUUCACGAAACAUAGCGUUUUUACA
This 810-nucleotide small RNA is filed under the name Schizosaccharomyces pombe (fission yeast). Its description in RNAcentral is "small heterochromatic RNA precursor". Lineage: Eukaryota; Fungi; Ascomycota; Schizosaccharomycetes; Schizosaccharomycetales; Schizosaccharomycetaceae. The record is from RNAcentral.